UAAAUGGAUUGAACCCAUCAGUA
Molecule: small nuclear RNA, 23 nt
Filed under: Arabidopsis thaliana (thale cress)
Lineage: Eukaryota; Viridiplantae; Streptophyta; Magnoliopsida; Brassicales; Brassicaceae
Description: snRNA_08974
Source: RNAcentral